RNAcentral lists this ribosomal RNA (377 nucleotides) under uncultured bacterium. Its description in RNAcentral is "bacterial SSU rRNA". It matches the Rfam family "Bacterial small subunit ribosomal RNA", at positions 523 to 898 of the family's 1533-position model. The record is from RNAcentral.
AUACGUAGGGGGCAAGCGUUGUCCGGAAUUACUGGGCGUAAAGGGUGCGUAGGCGGCCAGGCAAGUCCGAUGUGAAAUACCACGGCUAAACUGUGGGGGUGCAUAGGAAACUGUCUGGCUUGAGUGCAGGAGAGGAAAGUGGAAUUCCUGGUGUAGCGGUGAAAUGCGUAGAGAUUAGGAAGAACACCAGUGGCGAAGGCGACUUUCUGGACUGUAACUGACGCUGAGGCACGAAAGCGUGGGGAGCAAACAGGAUUAGAUACCCUGGUAGUCCACGCCGUAAACGAUGGAUACUAGGUGUAGGGGGUAUCGACCCCCCCUGUGCCGGAGUUAACGCAAUAAGUAUCCCGCCUGGGGAGUACGGCCGCAAGGUUGAA